RNAcentral lists this ribosomal RNA (253 nucleotides) under uncultured bacterium. RNAcentral describes it as "partial 16S ribosomal RNA". It matches the Rfam family "Bacterial small subunit ribosomal RNA", at positions 524 to 776 of the family's 1533-position model. The record is from RNAcentral.
UACAGAGGGUGCGAGCGUUAAUCGGAAUUACUGGGCGUAAAGCGCACGUAGUCGGCUUUGCAAGUCGGGUGUGAAAUCCCCGGGCUCAACCUGGGAACUGCAUCCGAGACUGCAUUGCUAGAGUAUGGGAGAGGGAAGCGGAAUUUCUGGUGUAGCGGUGAAAUGCGCAGAUAUCAGGAGGAACACCGGUGGCGAAGGCGGGUCUCUGGGCCGAUACUGACGCUGAGGAGCGAAAGCGUGGGGAGCGAACAGG